Molecule: transfer RNA, 88 nt
Filed under: Thermodesulfobacteriota bacterium
Lineage: Bacteria; Pseudomonadati; Thermodesulfobacteriota
Description: tRNA-Leu
Rfam family: tRNA
About the family: Transfer RNA (tRNA) molecules are approximately 80 nucleotides in length. Their secondary structure includes four short double-helical elements and three loops (D, anti-codon, and T loops).
Source: RNAcentral
GCCGAAGUGGCGGAAUUUGGUAGACGCGCUAGGUUCAGGGUCUAGUAGGCGAAUGCCUGUGGGGGUUCGAGUCCCCCCUUCGGCACCA